CCUAAUACAUGCAAGUAGAACGCUGAGAACUGGUGCUUGCACCGGUUCAAGGAGUUGCGAACGGGUGAGUAACGCGUAGGUAACCUACCUCAUAGCGGGGGAUAACUAUUGGAAACGAUAGCUAAUACCGCAUAAGAGAGACUAACGCAUGUUAGUAAUUUAAAAGGGGCAAUUGCUCCACUAUGAGAUGGACCUGCGUUGUAUUAGCUAGUUGGUGAGGUAAAGGCUCACCAAGGCGACGAUACAUAGCCGACCUGAGAGGGUGAUCGGCCACACUGGGACUGAGACACGGCCCAGACUCCUACGGGAGGCAGCAGUAGGGAAUCUUCGGCAAUGGGGGCAACCCUGACCGAGCAACGCCGCGUGAGUGAAGAAGGUUUUCGGAUCGUAAAGCUCUGUUGUUAGAGAAGAAUGAUGGUGGGAGUGGAAAAUCCACCAAGUGACGGUAACUAACCAGAAAGGGACGGCUAACUACGUGCCAGCAGCCGCGGUAAUACGUAGGUCCCGAGCGUUGUCCGGAUUUAUUGGGCGUAAAGCGAGCGCAGGCGGUUUUUUAAGUCUGAAGUUAAAGGCAUUGGCUCAACCAAUGUACGCUUUGGAAACUGGAGAACUUGAGUGCAGAAGGGGAGAGUGGAAUUCCAUGUGUAGCGGUGAAAUGCGUAGAUAUAUGGAGGAACACCGGUGGCGAAAGCGGCUCUCUGG
RNAcentral lists this ribosomal RNA (702 nucleotides) under uncultured Streptococcaceae bacterium. RNAcentral describes it as "bacterial SSU rRNA". It matches the Rfam family "Bacterial small subunit ribosomal RNA", at positions 47 to 732 of the family's 1533-position model. Lineage: Bacteria; Bacillati; Bacillota; Bacilli; Lactobacillales; Streptococcaceae. The record is from RNAcentral.